CCUACGGGUGGCAGCAGUGGGGAAUAUUUGGCAAUGGGCGCAAGCCUGACCCAGCAACGCCGCGUGAAGGAAGAAGGGUUUCGGGUUGUAAACUUCUUUUCUCAGGGACGAAAGAAAUGACGGUACCUGAGGAAUAAGCCACGGCUAACUACGUGCCAGCAGCCGCGGUAAUACGUAGGGGGCAAGCGUUAUCCGGAUUUACUGGGUGUAAAGGGUGUGUAGGCGGGAGCGUAAGUCAGAUGUGAAAACUUAGGGCUUAACCCUGAGACUGCAUUUGAAACUUUGUAGCUUGAGUGCUGGAGAGGCAAGCGGAAUUCCGAGUGUAGCGGUGAAAUGCGUAGAUAUUAGGAGGAACACCAGUGGCGAAGGCGGAUUGCUGGACAGAAACUGACGCUGAGGCGCGAAAGCGUGGGGAGCAAACAGGAUUAGAUACCCUAGUAGUC
RNAcentral lists this ribosomal RNA (443 nucleotides) under uncultured bacterium. Its description in RNAcentral is "partial 16S ribosomal RNA". It matches the Rfam family "Bacterial small subunit ribosomal RNA", at positions 338 to 795 of the family's 1533-position model. The record is from RNAcentral.